RNAcentral lists this long non-coding RNA (1797 nucleotides) under Heterocephalus glaber (naked mole-rat). RNAcentral describes it as "lncRNA (ENSHGLG00100036734.1)". Lineage: Eukaryota; Metazoa; Chordata; Mammalia; Rodentia; Bathyergidae. The record is from RNAcentral.
CCGGGAAGCCGGCCGUCUGCCCGCGCUCUCGCGUUCACCUCCAGCAGCUGUCGCGCAUCGCCGAGCUGCUGUGCUCUGCUGAGUACAGAACCGAACCACAGACCGCGGCGUGCGUGGGGCCUGCGCGCGUCGCGCCCGAGCCAGCGCUGCGGGCCGCUCGGCCCGGGGCGGGGUCGGGGAGCGGGGCCUCGACCGGAGCUGCAGCCCGGGACGCGGAGGGAGGCUCCCCGGAGCCCCAGCUGCGCCCGCCUAAGCCGCCGCGGGCUCCCUCGGCCACGGACUUUGCACGGAAGCCCCUGGAAGGCCCAGCUCUUCAGCCAGACCGGAACCGCGACCCAGCAGAGCCUCGGCGGUGCCGGCCGGAACCUCCUCCCGGGCUUCCUCAGGCGGAGACUUUGCCUCACUUUGAAGGCUCGGACAGAGUGGAAACUUCAGGGAACCGUGAAAUAGGACCUGAAAGCCAGCAACAGGAGACAGAUGUGACCAGGUCCCCCAGACUCUGCUUGGGAGGGGGAGGAGAGGGAUUGGUUUUGUUUUCCCUUUUUUUUUCCUCAGUACUGUACAGGGAAUCAACCCAGGACCUUCACACUGAGCUACGUCCCCAGUCCUUUUUUAUUUUGAGAAAAGGUCUCAGUAUGUCUGGGAAUUGCCCUGGCUGAGCUCAAAUUUGUAGCCCUCCUACCUCAGCCUGCCAAGAGUAUUGAUUGGUAUUGGAAAGUUGGAGACUCAAUUCUUUCUCCUUCCUUCCUUUCUUCUUUCUUUCUUCCUUUUUUUCCUUCCUCUUCCUUUUUCUUCUUCCUUUUUUUUUUUUUUUUUUUUGGUACCGAGGAUUGAACUCGGGUCCUUGCUCUUGGGCAGCAGGCAGCGAAACCACUGAGCUAAAUCCCCGGCCCCCUCGUCCUUUUUCAACAGGGUCUCGCUAUGUGGUUCAGGCUGCCCUUGAACUCAAGCUGGCUCGAACUCACAACCCUCCUGCCUCAGCCUCUCGAGUGCUGGGAGUACAUCUCACUGACCGAGGACCAUUUCUCUCAGCUGAGAGGUUGGGACUGAGGCUGUGUGUCGGUGACGAGCCCAAAGCCCCCGAGUGUGAUGUUGGGGACGGCUCCGCCCAGCAGCACCUGUGGACCGGGAGAAAGCCGGAGCACCUGCCUGUGAGCUUUCCUGCCUCUACCUAGGAAGCAAGCGUCCUCUACAGGAGCCCCAAAGGGACAGAGUCUUGGGGAGACAGCCCUGGCCUCAGACAGCCAACUUGGAGUCAAGACAAACAGUCUUACCAUCCAGCCAGAGCACUGCCACUCCUCUGACUGCACAUGGAUGCUCUCCCAGCCCAGACACACUCCCUGUCACUGCUGGUGCUGUGUGUGCAGAUGGCUGGCUCCCUGCGGCCCAGGACCACAGCCCACUGUCUCCUCCCCACAGCACCAGAAGUAGGAAAGUGCACAGGAAAGACGCGGUAGCCAGAAGCACAAACUCUGCAUCCGAUUUGAUCAUAAACCAGCACCGGUGGAGAAUUCGGGUGAAUUGUGGUGCAUCUGUAAGGCAGAAUGCUAAAGCAACUCCUAAAUGGGUAUUGUGAACUCCUGUGGAUUGCCAUGGGAAAAUGAUAUCUUUUCUGAGUGGGAGAAGCAAGGUAUACAACAAAACCGUAUGGACACAAUACUAUUUACAUACACACAUGCACUGUUCAAGGAAAAACUUUUGGAGGGAGAUCUUCCAAAAGAUUGACUCUGCUUAUUUUUAGAAAAUGAGAUAAGUACUACACACUUGUUGAAUGGGGGGGGGAUGCUCCAAUAGAUG